UAGCUGGUUUGAGAGGAUGAUCAGCACACUGGGACUGAGACACGGCCCAGACUCCUACGGGAGGCAGCAGUGGGGAAUAUUGCACAAUGGGCGCAAGCCUGAUGCAGCCAUGCCGCGUGUGUGAAGAAGGCCUUCGGGUUGUAAAGCACUUUCAGUCAGGAGGAAAGGUUACCCGUAGUUAAUACCUGCUAGCUGUGACGUUACUGACAGAAGAAGCACCGGCUAACUCCGUGCCAGCAGCCGCGGUAA
This 249-nucleotide ribosomal RNA is filed under the name uncultured bacterium. RNAcentral's name for it is "partial 16S ribosomal RNA". It matches the Rfam family "Bacterial small subunit ribosomal RNA", at positions 284 to 523 of the family's 1533-position model. The record is from RNAcentral.